This 219-nucleotide long non-coding RNA is filed under the name Homo sapiens (human). RNAcentral describes it as "HSALNT0403236". The record is from RNAcentral. Lineage: Eukaryota; Metazoa; Chordata; Mammalia; Primates; Hominidae.
CCUCUUAAUGAUUCCUGUGUCUCCGGCUUUUAGAACUGAAGCAGUUAUAAGAAUAUAGACAUAUUCCACUCAGUCGGAGUGUUCAUAAAGCGAUAUUAAGCACCAUACUAUAUCUCAGCAACAUGCAUAUGUUUGAAUGGAGUUCAUGAAAGGUCUUUGAGGAAUCAUCACACUGUCUUCCACAAUGGUUGAGUGAAUUUACACUUCCAGCAAUAGUGU